CAGCAGCCACGGGAAUACGUAGGGUGCGAGCGUUAAUCGGAAUUACUGGGCGUAAAGCGUGCGCAGGCGGUUAUAUAAGACAGAUGUGAAAUCCCCGGGCUCAACCUGGGACCUGCAUUUGUGACUGUAUAGCUAGAGUACGGUAGAGGGGGAUGGAAUUCCGCGUGUAGCAGUGAAAUGCGUAGAUAUGCGGAGGAGCACCGAUGGCGAAGGCAAUCCCCUGGACCUGUACUGACGCUCAUGCACGAAAGCGUGGGGAGCAAACAGGAUUAGAUACCCCAGUAGUCCCUGUCUCUUAUAC
RNAcentral lists this ribosomal RNA (301 nucleotides) under uncultured bacterium. RNAcentral describes it as "partial 16S ribosomal RNA". It matches the Rfam family "Bacterial small subunit ribosomal RNA", at positions 509 to 807 of the family's 1533-position model. The record is from RNAcentral.